This 373-nucleotide ribosomal RNA is filed under the name uncultured organism. RNAcentral's name for it is "partial 16S ribosomal RNA". It matches the Rfam family "Bacterial small subunit ribosomal RNA", at positions 527 to 896 of the family's 1533-position model. The record is from RNAcentral.
GUAGGUGGCAAGCGUUGUCCGGAAUUAUUGGGCGUAAAGCGCGCGCAGGCGGUUUUUUAAGUCUGAUGUGAAAGCCCACGGGCUCAACCGUGGAGGGUCAUUGGAAACUGGAGAACUUGAGUACAGAAGAGGAAAGCGGAAUUCCACGUGUAGCGGUGAAAUGCGUAGAGAUGUGGAGGAACACCAGUGGCGAAGGUUGCUUUCUGGUCUGUAACUGACGCUGAGGCGCGAAAGCGUGGGGAGCAAACAGGAUUAGAUACCCUGGUAGUCCACGCCGUAAACGAUGAGUGCUAAGUGUUAGGGGGUUUCCGCCCCUUAGUGCUGCAGCUAACGCAUUAAGCACUCCGCCUGGGGAGUACGGCCGCAAAGGCUG